AAGCACCAAGCACUCAGCAUUUAAGACUCUUCUCCCCUCUUCUCUUUUCCCUUCAACAUACACCCUUACACAGACAAUGGCCACAGUAGCAUUCUCUGCGAUUUCCCUUCUACUUUUUGUGCUCAAUCUUUGUUUUAGAGGCACAUUUGCGGACUAUGGAGGGUGGCAAGGUGGUCAUGCCACUUUCUACGGUGGGGGUGAUGCUUCUGGGACAAUGGGAGGUGCUUGUGGGUAUGGCAAUUUGUAUAGCCAAGGGUACGGUACUAACACUGCAGCGCUUAGUACUGCCCUAUUCAACAGUGGAUUGAGCUGUGGAGCUUGCUAUGAAAUGAGAUGUGACAACGAUCCCAGAUGGUGCCUCCCUGGAACCAUCACAGUCACUGCUACCAACUUCUGCCCUCCAAACAACGCCCUGUCAAAUGACAAUGGUGGCUGGUGCAAUCCUCCUCUCCAACAUUUUGACUUGGCUGAGCCUGCUUUCUUGCAAAUUGCUCAAUACAGAGCUGGAAUUGUACCCAUUUCUUUCAGAAGGGUCCCCUGUGUGAAGAAAGGAGGAAUAAGGUUCACCAUCAAUGGACACUCAUACUUCAACUUGGUAUUGGUCACAAAUGUUGGUGGAGCGGGAGAUGUACAUACAGUAUCAAUCAAGGGGUCUAAGACAGGGUGGCAAACCAUGUCAAGAAACUGGGGCCAAAACUGGCAGAGUAACUCUUACCUGAAUGGACAAAGUCUCUCUUUUCUAGUUACCACUAGUGAUGGCCGUAGUGUGCUCUCUUACAAUGUUGCCCCUGCUGGCUGGUCCUUCGGCCAGACAUACAUUGGAAGGCAGUUUCGGUAUUAAUUAUAAUUAGCAGAUCCCUUCAAUCUAUUCUAAGAUGCAUUAUUUCAGCUACAAUAUGGAUUGAAUAACUACUAAUGUACCUUUGGUAAAUAGAUAUGUACACUUUAGAAGACAUCUUGGGGGGUCAAGAUUUCUCAUGAUUUGGCCCUUUUCGAUUUCUUCCCAUAUAUUUUUACCGUCAUAUUGAGUUUUUAUAGUUCAUGAAUUGGCACUUGGCACUGAAUUCAAGCCUCAAGGCUUUUUGUUAUUACUGCUAGAAUGGAAGAGAUCAUUAUUUGUAAAUAAAGUCAGUUUCAUUGCUGUUAUUAUAUCAAAUGCACAAGCUCUAAUGCAUCAAGG
Molecule: unclassified non-coding RNA, 1180 nt
Filed under: Hevea brasiliensis (rubber tree)
Lineage: Eukaryota; Viridiplantae; Streptophyta; Magnoliopsida; Malpighiales; Euphorbiaceae
Source: RNAcentral